This 465-nucleotide ribosomal RNA is filed under the name uncultured bacterium. RNAcentral's name for it is "partial 16S ribosomal RNA". It matches the Rfam family "Bacterial small subunit ribosomal RNA", at positions 28 to 507 of the family's 1533-position model. The record is from RNAcentral.
GACGAACGCUGGCGGCGUGCUUAACACAUGCAAGUCGAACGGAAAGGCCCUGCUUUCGGGGUACUCGAGUGGCGAACGGGUGAGUAACACGCGGGUGAUCUGCCCUGCUCUUCGGGAUAUGCUUGGGAAACUGGGUCUAAUACCGGAUAGGAACCAUCUUUAGUGUGGUGGUUGGAAAGUUUUUUCGGUGUAGGGUGAGCUCGCGGCCUAUCAGCUUGUUUGUGGGGUAAUGGCCUACUAAGGCGGCGGCGGGUAGCCGGCCUGCGGGGGUGUACGGCCACAUUGGGACCUAGGUACGGCCCAGGCUCCGACGGGAGGCAGCAGGGGGGAAGAUUGCACAAUGGGCGCAAGGCGGGUGCAGCGACGCCGCGUGGGGGAAGAAGGGCUUCGGGUUGUAAAAUCCUUUCGCUAGGGACGAAGCUUUUUGUGACGGUACCUAGAUAAGAAGCACCGGCUAACUACGUG